AUGGGUCUGGCGAAGGAUGGCGCCGAGAUGGAGGAGGGGACAUUGGAGAUUGGCAUAGAGUAUAGAACUGUCUCCGGUGUGGCAGGGCCAUUGGUUAUUUUGGACAAAGUAAAGGGCCCAAAGUAUCAGGAGAUUGUGAACAUCCGAUUGGGAGAUGGCACCACUCGUCGUGGUCAAGUCCUCGAAGUUGAUGGUGAAAAAGCUGUUGUGCAGGUAUUUGAAGGUACUUCAGGGAUAGACAACAAGUAUACUACUGUACAGUUCACAGGCGAGGUUUUGAAAACUCCCGUCUCACUUGAUAUGCUUGGACGCAUUUUUAAUGGUUCUGGAAAACCUAUUGAUAAUGGCCCCCCUAUAUUGCCUGAGGCUUACUUGGAUAUUUCUGGAAGUUCUAUCAACCCAAGUGAGAGAACCUAUCCAGAAGAGAUGAUUCAAACAGGAAUAUCCACCAUUGAUGUCAUGAACUCGAUUGCUCGAGGGCAAAAAAUUCCUCUUUUCUCUGCUGCUGGACUUCCUCAUAAUGAAAUUGCUGCUCAAAUUUGUCGCCAAGCUGGCCUCGUUAAAAGGUUGGAGCAAAGCAAGCAUGCAGCAGAGGGAGGUGAAGAAGACAAUUUUGCAAUUGUGUUUGCUGCUAUGGGAGUAAACAUGGAAACGGCACAAUUUUUCAAGCGUGACUUCGAAGAAAAUGGUUCGAUGGAGCGGGUCACCCUUUUCCUGAAUUUGGCAAAUGACCCCACUAUUGAGCGUAUUAUCACUCCUCGAAUUGCCCUAACAACUGCUGAAUAUUUGGCAUAUGAAUGUGGGAAGCAUGUUCUUGUGAUUCUGACAGAUAUGAGCUCAUAUGCCGAUGCACUUCGCGAGGUCUCAGCAGCACGAGAAGAGGUACCUGGUAGGCGUGGUUAUCCUGGGUAUAUGUAUACUGAUUUGGCCACCAUAUAUGAGCGAGCUGGGCGUAUCGAGGGAAGGAAAGGAUCAAUUACCCAAAUUCCUAUUCUUACAAUGCCUAAUGAUGAUAUCACUCAUCCAACUCCUGAUCUUACGGGAUACAUUACCGAAGGGCAGAUAUAUAUUGACAGACAGCUUCAUAAUAGACAGAUAUACCCACCCAUCAACGUCCUGCCAUCUCUUUCUCGUCUGAUGAAGAGUGCUAUUGGUGAAGGUAUGACACGCCGGGAUCAUUCAGAUGUGUCCAAUCAGCUGUAUGCCAACUACGCCAUUGGGAAGGAUGUUCAAGCCAUGAAAGCAGUUGUCGGAGAGGAGGCUCUUUCAUCUGAGGACCUGCUCUAUUUAGAAUUCCUUGACAAGUUUGAGAGGAAAUUUGUAGCGCAAGGAGCAUACGAUACUCGGAACAUUUUUCAGUCACUUGAUCUGGCAUGGACAUUGCUACGCAUAUUCCCCCGAGAACUUCUCCACCGUAUUCCUGCGAAGACCUUGGAUCAGUUCUACAGCAGAGAUGCCACCCAUUGA
Molecule: ribosomal RNA, 1467 nt
Filed under: Triticum aestivum (bread wheat)
Lineage: Eukaryota; Viridiplantae; Streptophyta; Magnoliopsida; Poales; Poaceae
Description: partial small subunit ribosomal RNA
Source: RNAcentral